This 199-nucleotide non-coding RNA is filed under the name Arachidicoccus ginsenosidimutans. RNAcentral also lists the same sequence under 1 other name. Lineage: Bacteria; Pseudomonadati; Bacteroidota; Chitinophagia; Chitinophagales; Chitinophagaceae. The record is from RNAcentral.
AUCUUCGCGCUCGAUUAAGGUUUUUGUUUACACAAAAUUAAAAGGGAAGAUUGGUGUAAAUUCCAACGCUAUCCCCGUAGCCGUAACAAGCAGUUUUUAUAAAACAAGUUGUUGAAGAUUACCACUGUUUCGUUGUAAGAAAUGGGAAGGUUUCAACAAUGCUUCAAGCCGGAAGACCUGCCUUUAUCACAUAUUAUUU